GGAGUGAUUUGUCUGCUUAAUUGCGAUAACGAACGAGACCUUAACCUACUAAAUAGUGGUGCUAGCAUUUGCUGGUUAUCCACUUCUUAGAGGGACUAUCGGUUUCAAGCCGAUGGAAGUUUGAGGCAAUAACAGGUCUGUGAUGCCCUUAGACGUUCUGGGCCGCACGCGCGCUACACUGACGGAGCCAGCGAGUCUAACCUUGGCCGAGAGGUCUUGGUAAUCUUGUGAAACUCCGUCGUGCUGGGGAUAGAGCAUUGUAA
RNAcentral lists this ribosomal RNA (263 nucleotides) under Sphingomonas sp. PsM26. RNAcentral describes it as "partial 16S ribosomal RNA". It matches the Rfam family "Eukaryotic small subunit ribosomal RNA", at positions 1303 to 1589 of the family's 1831-position model. Lineage: Bacteria; Pseudomonadati; Pseudomonadota; Alphaproteobacteria; Sphingomonadales; Sphingomonadaceae. The record is from RNAcentral.